Molecule: non-coding RNA, 409 nt
Organism: Malaclemys terrapin pileata
Lineage: Eukaryota; Metazoa; Chordata; Testudines; Emydidae
Source: the annotation of a RefSeq genome assembly
CGGAUUGACUCUGCCUCGGUAUAUUCCUCUGCAAGGGAGAGAAGAAACGGAGCUCACCAUGGCCUCAGAGAGUGGAGCUGCUCUGUGGAGCCUUCUCCUCACCUUUGCUUUUCUCUUCUCCUGCUGCGAAGCCCAAGUGGAUCAGAGCCCCGAGUCACUGGUUACUGGGGAAGGGGAGGUCUCCACCAUGUCCUGCUCUUUCACCAGCGCUUUCAAAAUCUUCCAGUGGUACCAGCAGCUCCCUGGGCAAGGGCCGAUUCACCUGCUGACCGUGAGCUCUAAUGAGAAUGUCACUCUGGGGCGGUUCACAGGUGAGCGCUUGGAAAGUGGGAAACGCAGCUCCCUGCACAUCACCGACUCCCAGCUGGGGGACUCAGGCAGCUACCUCUGUGCGGUGGAUGCACAGUGA